RNAcentral lists this ribosomal RNA (776 nucleotides) under uncultured Neocallimastigales. RNAcentral describes it as "partial large subunit ribosomal RNA". It matches the Rfam family "Eukaryotic large subunit ribosomal RNA", at positions 24 to 645 of the family's 3401-position model. The record is from RNAcentral. Lineage: Eukaryota; Fungi; Neocallimastigomycota; Neocallimastigomycetes; Neocallimastigales.
UAUCUCUGUAGAGUCUGCAUAUCAAUAAGCGGAGGAAAAGAAACUAACUAGGAUUCCCUCAGUAACGGCGAGUGAAGCGGGAAGAGCUCAAAUUUGAAAUCUUCAAGGUUCUACCUUGACGAAUUGUAGUUUAAAGGAAGUGUUUUCUGUUGAAGUUUUGGUAAAAGUUCUUUGGAAUAGGACAUCAUAGAGGGUGAGAAUCCCGUAUUUGACCAUUACUUCCAGCGUUGUGAUACACUUUCAAAGAGUCGGAUUGUUUGGGAAUGCAGUCCAAAAUGGGUGGUAAAUUUCAUCUAAAGCUAAAUAUUGGCGAGAGACCGAUAGCGAACAAGUACCGUGAGGGAAAGAUGAAAAGAACUUUGAAAAGAGAGUUAAACAGUACGUGAAAUUGUCAAAAGGGAAGCGUUUGACACCAGUGUUGUUUUCUCGAAAAUCAAUUAAAAAUGGCUUGAUUUUGUGUUGUAUUGACCUUAAAAGCUUUCUUCACUUUUUUCAUGUCUUUUUUAAUGCACUUUUCGUUUAACAAGUCAACAUCAAGUUUCUUUUGUUGUAAAAGGGUCAUUGGAAGGUGGCUUUCUUUUCGGAGAAAGUGUUUAUAGCCUUUGACUUCUGCAAUCGGAGAGAUUGAGGUCUGCAGCGUAGAUCCUUCGGGGUUAGAUGCAUUUGUGCUAAGUUAUAGCCUUUCAUAGACAACUUGUUGACUAUGAUCAGUCAUGUAGCUUACUCGCUUAUGUCAUUUUACCUACGCUUAGGAUGUUGAUCUCUCACAGUCGAGC